This 440-nucleotide ribosomal RNA is filed under the name uncultured bacterium. RNAcentral describes it as "partial 16S ribosomal RNA". It matches the Rfam family "Bacterial small subunit ribosomal RNA", at positions 338 to 795 of the family's 1533-position model. The record is from RNAcentral.
CCUACGGGUGGCAGCAGUGGGGAAUAUUGCACAAUGGGGGAAACCCUGAUGCAGCGACGCCGCGUGAGUGAAGAAGUAUUUCGGUAUGUAAAGCUCUAUCAGCAGGGAAGAAGAUGACGGUACCUGACUAAGAAGCCCCGGCUAACUACGUGCCAGCAGCCGCGGUAAUACGUAGGGGGCAAGCGUUAUCCGGAUUUACGGGGUGGAAAGGGAGCGUAGACGGCAGGGCCAGUCUUGAGUGAAAGCGCGGGGCGCAACCCCGGGACUGCUUUGGAAACUGCCAUGCUAGAGUGCUGGAGAGGUAAGCGGAAUUCCUAGUGUAGCGGUGAAAUGCGUAGAUAUUAGGAGGAACACCAGUGGCGAAGGCGGCUUACUGGACAGUAACUGACGUUGAGGCUCGAAAGCGUGGGGAGCAAACAGGAUUAGAUACCCCUGUAGUC